This 576-nucleotide ribosomal RNA is filed under the name uncultured Lactobacillus sp. Its description in RNAcentral is "bacterial SSU rRNA". It matches the Rfam family "Bacterial small subunit ribosomal RNA", at positions 924 to 1501 of the family's 1533-position model. Lineage: Bacteria; Bacillati; Bacillota; Bacilli; Lactobacillales; Lactobacillaceae. The record is from RNAcentral.
CACAAGCGGUGGAGCAUGUGGUUUAAUUCGAAGCUACGCGAAGAACCUUACCAGGUCUUGACAUCUUCUGCCAAUCUUAGAGAUAAGACGUUCCCUUCGGGGACAGAAUGACAGGUGGUGCAUGGUUGUCGUCAGCUCGUGUCGUGAGAUGUUGGGUUAAGUCCCGCAACGAGCGCAACCCUUAUUAUCAGUUGCCAGCAUUCAGUUGGGCACUCUGGUGAGACUGCCGGUGACAAACCGGAGGAAGGUGGGGAUGACGUCAAAUCAUCAUGCCCCUUAUGACCUGGGCUACACACGUGCUACAAUGGACGGUACAACGAGUCGCAAAGUCGCGAGGCUAAGCUAAUCUCUUAAAGCCGUUCUCAGUUCGGAUUGCAGGCUGCAACUCGCCUACAUGAAGUUGGAAUCGCUAGUAAUCGCGGAUCAGCAUGCCGCGGUGAAUACGUUCCCGGGCCUUGUACACACCGCCCGUCACACCAUGAGAGUUUGUAACACCCAAAGCCGGUGAGGUAACCUUUUGGAGCCAGCCGUCUAAGGUGGGACAGAUGAUUGGGGUGAAGUCGUAACAAGGUAACC